Molecule: long non-coding RNA, 820 nt
Filed under: Cyanistes caeruleus (blue tit)
Lineage: Eukaryota; Metazoa; Chordata; Aves; Passeriformes; Paridae
Description: lncRNA (ENSCCEG00000010461.1)
Source: RNAcentral
AUAAAGUAGCUCAGAGACCCACAGGAUCCCAAGGUUUGAACCCUACUUAAAUAAUUUAGACCUAGCCUGGAUGUCCACUCGAAGUCUUGGGAGAGAACGUGUUUGGAUUGAUCCAGCCACCUGAGAAGAGAAUUUGGAGAUGGUGGCCAGAAGCUGCAGCCAUGACUCAGUAAGAAGGGGAAAAGUGCUGCUCUGAUGUUACCUGGAACUGCAUUUAACUUAAACCAGCACAGUGCCUUGCUCUUCUGUGACCUUUACCCAUCAGGACUUAUUAGCUAAUUGAAUUCAGAAGGCAAUGAAAACACUGUGAGCACAGGCCUUGAUGUCUGGACCCUUCAACAGACCUUGGAACCCACUUCACCUUCCAGGCUGGAUGCUCUUGUUGCACAAGGAUUUCCUGAAGGUUUGGUGUCAUGGAAACAGCUUCUUCAUUUGGAAAGCUCUGCGGCAGUGUGAGAAGGAAAAGACUGGAGAGGGCGAGAGGAAGAGGGAGCGCAGGAGCGUGGCCGUGCAGCCUUCCCAACAUCAGUGGCUCCCUCCCUCCCUGCCUUCCCCGGAGACAAGGGAGCGAGCAGGAGGGCAGGGCUCCCGCGCUGCCUGCCUUACCUCGCUCUGCAAUAAGGCAAAUCAUUCCCCCUUUGCUGUUUGUCAUCGCCAAGACUGCAUGUGGCUUAUUUUGUAGUUAAUGCACAGUGUAGUUCUAAACACUUUUUAAGGGAAUUUUCUGUACUGAGGGGUUGUGUUUCUAUAUCUAUAUAUUAAUAUAUUUAUACAUACAUAUAUAUAUGUGAUGUAUUUUUGUAAAUGGACUUUAUCUAAA